This 755-nucleotide ribosomal RNA is filed under the name uncultured archaeon. Its description in RNAcentral is "bacterial SSU rRNA". It matches the Rfam family "Archaeal small subunit ribosomal RNA", at positions 102 to 857 of the family's 1478-position model. The record is from RNAcentral.
GGAUAAUCUACCCUUAGGACCGGGAUAACCCUGGGAAACUGGGGAUAAUACUGGAUAGGCAAUUAUUCCUGUAAUGGUUUUUUGUUUAAAUGUUUUUUCGCCUAAGGAUGAGUCUGCGGCCGAUUAGGUAGUUGGUUAGGUAAUGGCUUACCAAGCCGUUGAUCGGUACGGGUUGUGAGAGCGAGAGCCCGGAGAUGGAACCUGAGACAAGGUUCCAGGCCCUACGGGGUGCAGCAGGCGCGAAACCUCCGCAAUGUGAGAAAUCGCGACGGGGGGAUCCCAAGUGCCAUUCUUAACGGGAUGGCUUUUCAUUAGUGUAAAGAGCUUUUGGAAUAAGAGCUGGGCAAGACCGGUGCCAGCCGCCGCGGUAACACCGGCAGCUCUAGUGGUAACAAUUUUUAUUGGGCCUAAAGCGUCCGUAGCCGGUUUAAUAAGUCCCUGGUGAAAUCCUGCAGCUUAACUGUGGGAAUUGCUGGAGAUACUAUUAGACUUGAGACCGGGAGAGGUUAGAGGUACUCCCAGGGUAGAGGUGAAAUUCUGUAAUCCUGGGAGGACCGCCUGUUGCGAAGGCGUCUAACUGGAACGGUUCUGACGGUGAGGGACGAAAGUUAGGGGCGCGAACCGGAUUAGAUACCCGGGUAGUCCUAACUGUAAACGAUGCGGACUUGGUGUUGGGGUGGCUUUGAGCUGCUUCAGUGCCGAAGGGAAGCUGUUAAGUCCGCCGCCUGGGAAGUACGGUCGCAAGACUGAAACUU